GGAGGCGUGGUAGAGCGGUAAUACAACGGUUUGCUAAACCGUCGGUUCCGAAAGGGCCGGGCAGGUUCAACCCCUGUCGCCUCCGCCU
This 88-nucleotide transfer RNA is filed under the name Treponema sp. RNAcentral's name for it is "tRNA-Ser". It matches the Rfam family "tRNA". From Rfam's summary of the family: Transfer RNA (tRNA) molecules are approximately 80 nucleotides in length. Their secondary structure includes four short double-helical elements and three loops (D, anti-codon, and T loops). Further hydrogen bonds mediate the characteristic L-shaped molecular structure. tRNAs have two regions of fundamental functional importance: the anti-codon, which is responsible for specific mRNA codon recognition, and the 3' end, to which the tRNAs corresponding amino acid is attached (by aminoacyl-tRNA synthetases). tRNAs cope with the degeneracy of the genetic code in two manners: having more than one tRNA (with a specific anti-codon) for a particular amino acid; and 'wobble' base-pairing, i.e. permitting non-standard base-pairing at the 3rd anti-codon position. The record is from RNAcentral. Lineage: Bacteria; Pseudomonadati; Spirochaetota; Spirochaetia; Treponematales; Treponemataceae.